Molecule: ribosomal RNA, 433 nt
Filed under: uncultured bacterium
Lineage: Bacteria
Description: partial 16S ribosomal RNA
Rfam family: Bacterial small subunit ribosomal RNA
Source: RNAcentral
AACGAACGCUGGCGGCAUGCCUAACACAUGCAAGUCGAACGAAGGCUUCGGCCUUAGUGGCGCACGGGUGCGUAACGCGUGGGAAUCUGCCCUUUGCCUCGGAAUAACAGUUAGAAAUGACUGCUAAUACCGGAUGAUGUCGCAAGACCAAAGAUUUAUCGGCAAAGGAUGAGCCCGCGUAGGAUUAGCUAGUUGGUGGGGUAAAGGCCUACCAAGGCGACGAUCCUUAGCUGGUCUGAGAGGAUGAUCAGCCACACUGGGACUGAGACACGGCCCAGACUCCUACGGGAGGCAGCAGUGGGGAAUAUUGGACAAUGGGCGAAAGCCUGAUCCAGCAAUGCCGCGUGAGUGAUGAAGGCCUUAGGGUUGAAAAGCUCUUUUACCCGGGAUGAUAAUGACAGUACCGGGAGAAUAAGCUCCGGCUAACUCCGUG